Molecule: ribosomal RNA, 119 nt
Filed under: Pteropus alecto (black flying fox)
Lineage: Eukaryota; Metazoa; Chordata; Mammalia; Chiroptera; Pteropodidae
Source: RNAcentral
UACUAUGGCCAUGCCACCCUGAACGUGCCUGAUCUCGUCUGAUCUCGAAAGCUAAGCAGGGUCAGGCCUGGUUAGUACUUGGAUGAGAGACCACCUAGGAAUACCAGGUGCUGUAGGCU